Molecule: non-coding RNA, 221 nt
Filed under: Thermosediminibacter oceani
Lineage: Bacteria; Bacillati; Bacillota; Clostridia; Thermosediminibacterales; Thermosediminibacteraceae
Description: T-box sequence
Rfam family: T-box leader
About the family: Uncharged tRNA acts as the effector for transcription antitermination of genes in the T-box leader family. T-boxes are found upstream of many aminoacyl-tRNA synthetase genes and some amino acid biosynthetic genes usually in Gram-positive bacteria.
Source: RNAcentral
GCAAAAACGAUGAAGGGGACAGUAAGCGCCGGGAAGCCCCCAGCGAGCCGGGGUUGGGUGGGAGCCCGGUGGAUUUACCGGUGGCUGAAGAUCACCCCUGAGUGAGGCCCGAAACCAGCGGAGUAGGAGCCUACGGCUAUUGCCGUUAUCUAGACAAGGGAGGUGCGGGAAUUUUCCGCACCUUACCAGGGUGGUACCGCGGGAGAAAUCUCGUCCCUUUU